Long non-coding RNA from Chroicocephalus ridibundus (black-headed gull), 1427 nucleotides. RefSeq lists it as uncharacterized. Lineage: Eukaryota; Metazoa; Chordata; Aves; Charadriiformes; Laridae. The transcript has 4 exons. The record is from RefSeq and is a predicted model, not a curated record.
CCAAGAGUGGGAGAAACACCAGCAGGCUGGCCCAGGGGAGACUCGUGGCAAUGGAUGGGUGCAAACGCUCUGGGACACUUGCAGGACCAAACCCGGCAGGGGAACGUGGGUGCUGCCCUGGCUGGGGGCAAGACCCAGGGCCAGGAGCGAGGUGGGUGCCUCUGGGUUUGCACGCUUCUCGGUGUGCCCUUCACCACCGCGCUGUGCCGGGCCAUGGCAGCCACAGAACAUCACCUCUUUGGCAAGCGGCGCUGACUCAACACAUGCCACCACCGAGGCUCGGUGGCCCUGCCAGGAUGCUGCUGCCUGCCCCGGGCAUCUCCAUGUUAUCCAGCAAAGUGCAGCAAAGUGCUCUCUGCAGAGGAAGAGGAGGUGAAGCACCGCGGAGGAGAACGGUGGCUGUGUGGCCCCAGCCGUUAUGAGUUUCCACCUUGAGGGUGAAGAAGUAGAGUUACACCUUUCAGGAUGAGGCUGGGAAGUCCUGCCCCAUCCCGUUGGCUCUCCCUGUCACCCCCAUGGAUUUGCUGUCCCUGCCUGCACCCCGGUGCAAGCCAGGCAGGGCAGCCGCUGUGCAGUUGUCACCUUUCCCAGUUCCCUUCAGUGCGGGAGGGACCGGAGCAGAUGCAGAGCUCAAGGUGUGAGCAACCUCAGGUCCACACCACGGCACCGAGGCCUUCAUCUGUCCCUCUCCAGCACUGCGUGCGCGUCGCCGGGCAGAAAUCUCUGCACAGGAGUCCCCGCCAUGGCCCUUGGAGCUCCUUCCCGAGCGACAACAGCUCCUUCAAACCCAUCGCUGUGCGUGCAAAGCCAGAGGGUGAAGUGCUGGGACUAAGUCGCAGCGGGCUCCCAGCGAGAAGGUGGAAAGCUGCUGCGGAGGAGCCUCUCACAAGCGUCCUACCGCGCGUGCUGGGGAUGGAGUGGCGUCCCUGUCUCAAGGAGAAGGCAUCGGAGACUGGUGGAGUGCCACUCGACUGCUAAAACACCCGUCCCUGGAGGGAACGACAGGCAGCCGGGGCUGGAGAUCGCUCCGACAAUCUCCGGUUUCCUUGGUGACAGUCGGGAUCUCUCGGCUGCACAAGAGCUUGGGCUUGACGGAGCCUUUUUUUCUGGAUAUUAUACCGUAUUAUUUGGUGUAGGGUUUCGAAGGUCCUCUUUGUUUUGAGUCUGGGGGGCUGGGUGUCGUCAGAGCCCCACCAGCCCCAUCCGCCUUCCCCGGGCUGAAGGCGUCGCUGGCAGCAGCGGGCUCCUCGCUCCAACUCCUUUCGCAGUAGCUGUUGCCAUCUUGUUUAAUUCCGGCAUUAUCUGAUUGUCACAGCGUGUUUCUCUGUAUUAGGCAAUACGCCAGUUUGUUACUUAACCUGUAAUUGCACUUUAAUAUAAGCUAUCUCAAAAAUGUAUUUUCGGAGUGCGUCUUAUAAACACACGAU